RNAcentral lists this microRNA (21 nucleotides) under Nicotiana tabacum (common tobacco). Its description in RNAcentral is "nta-miR6021". The record is from miRBase by way of RNAcentral. Lineage: Eukaryota; Viridiplantae; Streptophyta; Magnoliopsida; Solanales; Solanaceae.
UUGGAAGAGGCUGCUAUUGGA